This 468-nucleotide ribosomal RNA is filed under the name uncultured bacterium. RNAcentral describes it as "partial 16S ribosomal RNA". It matches the Rfam family "Bacterial small subunit ribosomal RNA", at positions 28 to 507 of the family's 1533-position model. The record is from RNAcentral.
GACGAACGCUGGCGGCGUGCUUAACACAUGCAAGUCGAACGGAAAGGCCCUGCUUUUGUGGGGUGCUCGAGUGGCGAACGGGUGAGUAACACGUGAGUAACCUGCCCUUGACUUUGGGAUAACUUCAGGAAACUGGGGCUAAUACCGGAUAGGAGCUCCUGCUGCAUGGUGGGGGUUGGAAAGUUUCGGCGGUUGGGGAUGGACUCGCGGCUUAUCAGCUUGUUGGUGGGGUAGUGGCUUACCAAGGCUUUGACGGGUAGCCGGCCUGAGAGGGUGACCGGCCACAUUGGGACUGAGAUACGGCCCAGACUCCUACGGGAAGCAGCAGUGGGGAAUAUUGCACAAUGGGCGGAAGCCUGAUGCAGCAACGCCGCGUGCGGGAUGAUGGCCUUCGGGUUGUAAACCGCUUUCGCCUGUGACGAAGCGUGAGUGACGGUAAUGGGUAAAGAAGCACCGGCUAACUACGUG